RNAcentral lists this ribosomal RNA (497 nucleotides) under uncultured bacterium. RNAcentral describes it as "partial 16S ribosomal RNA". It matches the Rfam family "Bacterial small subunit ribosomal RNA", at positions 28 to 507 of the family's 1533-position model. The record is from RNAcentral.
GAUGAACGCUGGCGGCGUGCCUAAUACAUGCAAGUCGAGCGAACGGACGAGAAGCUUGCUUCUCUGAUGUUAGCGGCGGACGGGUGAGUAACACGUGGAUAACCUACCUAUAAGGCUGGGAUAACUUCGGGAAACCGGAGCUAAUACCGGAUGAUAUUUUGAACCGCAUGGUUCAAAAGUGAAAGACGGUCUUGCUGUCACUUAUAGAUGGAUCCGCGCUGCAUUAGCUAGUUGGUAAGGUAACGGCUUACCAAGGCAACGAUGCAUAGCCGACCUGAGAGGGUGAUCGGCCACACUGGAACUGAGACACGGUCCAGACUCCUACGGGAGGCAGCAGUAGGGAAUCUUCCGCAAAGGGCGAAAGCCUGACGGAGCAACGCCGCGUGAGUGAUGAAGGUCUUCGGAUCGUAAAACUCUGUUAUUAGGGAAGAACAUAUGUGUAAGUAACUGUGCACAUCUUGACGGUACCUAAUCAGAAAGCCACGGCUAACUACGUG